UCAUGGGAUGAUUGUUGAUCUUUGUCAUCAUGGUAGUGAGAAUAAGAAAUGUGCCAAGUUCCUAUCACCGAAAUCACUUCGUGAGCGCUUGGAGUUGUUUCAGAUACUAAAUCCUAGAGAACUCCACUUCCGUAAUUAUUCAUUGCCUGAAGGUGUAUCAAGCGUAGUCCCUUCAGGAUUCAUGAAAACUAUUUACCGGUUAAAAUCCUUGGGCUAUCCAAUGCCACCACCACUUGUGCUUGAAU
This is a long non-coding RNA of Setaria italica (foxtail millet), 245 nucleotides long. RefSeq lists it as uncharacterized. The record is from RefSeq and is a predicted model, not a curated record. Lineage: Eukaryota; Viridiplantae; Streptophyta; Magnoliopsida; Poales; Poaceae. The transcript is spliced from 3 exons.